AUGAUUUAUUAAAGUACGUUUUAACGAUUAAUCGAUAAUUUUUCAAGUGAAGCUUAUUUGUCUGUAUAUAUCCUCGUACUUAUGAACGGGAGUUGUAUGCUAUAUCUUCCAGUAAAAAAUUAGAAAUAAAGAUAGAAAUCAAUGUUAUAUCGAAGAAACAGCGUGUGAUUCUUGGAACUUGUCAAUGUGACGCACUGGGCCACGUGACGAUAACUAGUAUAGCUACUUAUAAACAAUAACACAACCGUGGGCGAAGGGAAAGAAAAGAAAACCCGUCGUUUAUCGAUACAUUAUAUUUAGAGUGGUGCUACUAUUCACGACGAAUCGCACUUUAGUAACGCCACACGAUUGUUAGUAUUACCGGAAGUUAUGGCAAUUACUGCAAGCCGUUGCAAACGCGGGUGCAGCUGCGAAUCCUAUUUUCGAAAGCGCUCAGCGAUAUUUCUACUCUCUUUUUCGGCCGUGAAACAGUAUGUUUCGCGUAGAACGUGACAACGGAUAUCCGUUACAAGAUCUUCUGUUACAAUCGUAUCAAACGACAAACGUUAUAACAGCGACUCGGUUGAAAUUAUAAGUUGAUCUUUUAUAUGUUUUGGGAAAGAUUGAUUUGCUUAACAAAUUUUUAACGAAAGAACACAUUAAACGGAACGCAGGAUGAUUCUCUUACUAGAGUUUUCCCUUAAAAGACGGUGUAACCGCCCACUAUCCGCCUAAUUACGCUUCACUGUAUGUAUAAAUAUGCGAAAAUUGAAAAUGACACGCUCACACGUCACUUGUGACGUUGCAAUGUUCGAUCAGCGCCUUUUCUCGUGGUCUCCAGCGAGCGAAUCUUCCUAUACAUUGUAUAUGUUGCUGGUUAUCGAACAAUGUCUGGAAGCAAGUAUCAGAAGAGGCGGGAGGUUGAUAAGUAUUAAUAGUGUAUGUCUGAUACGUAAUUAGAGAGCGCAUGGUAGAAUUACAAUUCCUCCUGGUGACAUUAAAUCACCAUCCUCGGACAGCCGACCGAUAAUUUUUCAUCGAGGACUAAAUUAUGAAUUAUCGUGGCUCGAGCACGUAUCGAAUCAAAUGACGAACGAUAAGAGGGCGACAGUCGCGACGCCAGAACGGAAUUAACCAGCGACUGUGCAUGCGAAGCCACGCUAUUAAAUAUAAUUUACGAAUGGAGCAGCGUUUUUAUGUACGGCUUUCGAACAUGUCAGAUUCAUCUGGCCGACUGGAGCCUCGAAAUAAAUCAUUCGAUAUUGAACGAAGCACCGAUGCCUGGAAAAGAGAAGGAGAGUAAGGAAAGGCGAACCUUCGUCUUGAAAUGCAAUUUUCUCUCAAGUUAUCGAUGCUAAUAGCAUUACAUUAUUUAAUGUAAUGGCAAAAAUUAUCAUGGUCAGAGAUAGCACGUAUUUUAUAUAAUUACGAUAUCUACCGAUGCUAGUUCGAUUCACGGUUCCGCGUCAAUGUUUAUGAAAGCGUUAAUAAAGUCGAUGAAAAUUAUUUGUAUUAUUGAAACAAUUGCUCAACGAUUUUGUUCGAUCGGACGGAAAAAUGGGGAUGAACGCGUAUGAAACGGUUAUUGUUUAUUUUACAGAAAUCUUCUGUAGUAAUCUCCUAGUAAUAAAGGACAGAGGAGCGGUCAGACGAAGAAUUGUGUUAUUGUUCAUUAGGACGAAAAAUUGUUUACAGUUUUAAAAACACGAAUCUUUAUCGCUAUUUAGUGUAUGGUACAUACCUAUGUCCUCUUAUAGCUCUGAACUCUUUUUUUUUAUCUGUAUGUUUAAAUACAGGGAUUAAUAUUUAAUUUUCAUAAGCUUAAAAUAUUCCGAUUUUCAUAAGCUUAUGUAAGAUUUUCGAACGAUGCAGGCUACGUUUACACCUUGACAAGAAUGUGCGUGUGCGCGCGUGCGUGUGUGUAUUUAUUCCAAAUUAAGGCUAACAUCACGCGAAUGAGAUGUGCGAUGCGAUUCAAGGUCUUUUUCGUCUCAGUGCACGCAAUCUGCAGCUCAGCUUUCAACUUCUCGGUUACGUGGUUACAAUCAAUUCUUCCUCCCAAAUGCAAUCUUCUUUCUUUCUUUGAAGGGUGAAUUGAUCUUCUUUUUUUAAUGGUUUCUCCAGUUCUUCCAAAUAAGAGGUCCUUACUCAUCUUUUUUUCUUGACCGUGUCGAUUAUCUAAAAUAUGACCGAUAAAGUGAAUAUAUUAUUACUUCGUAUCACUAAUUCUAGGUCUGAUUGAAACGAUUUAUAAAAAUGGAGGUUGAAAUCUAUUAAAUUAAUAAUCAAAGUAAUAACUUGCAGAUAAUUUUCAAUUAUGAUCGCAUUGCUGCACGCGUUCCCAUUUUGACCUAUAGUAACUGGUCAGUCAUCGAAAUCACGCCUUUUUCGAAAUAAUAAUUACCAAUUAAAUUAAAACGAAAUUAUUUUAAUAUCGCGUUUGCACACAUUGCAAGAGCAGGUUAGAAUUACAAUUUAUUCUUAGUUAAUGAUAAUUGCAUACAAUCGGAAGAAAAAUUCUUGCCAAAUGGAUAUGUCAA
Bombus impatiens (common eastern bumble bee) is the source of this 2519-nucleotide long non-coding RNA. RefSeq lists it as uncharacterized. The record is from RefSeq and is a predicted model, not a curated record. The transcript has 2 exons. Lineage: Eukaryota; Metazoa; Arthropoda; Insecta; Hymenoptera; Apidae.